Molecule: transfer RNA, 82 nt
Filed under: Dreissena polymorpha
Lineage: Eukaryota; Metazoa; Mollusca; Bivalvia; Myida; Dreissenidae
Rfam family: tRNA
About the family: Transfer RNA (tRNA) molecules are approximately 80 nucleotides in length. Their secondary structure includes four short double-helical elements and three loops (D, anti-codon, and T loops). Further hydrogen bonds mediate the characteristic L-shaped molecular structure. tRNAs have two regions of fundamental functional importance: the anti-codon, which is responsible for specific mRNA codon recognition, and the 3' end, to which the tRNAs corresponding amino acid is attached (by aminoacyl-tRNA synthetases). tRNAs cope with the degeneracy of the genetic code in two manners: having more than one tRNA (with a specific anti-codon) for a particular amino acid; and 'wobble' base-pairing, i.e. permitting non-standard base-pairing at the 3rd anti-codon position.
Source: Rfam by way of RNAcentral
GUUGUCAUGGCCGAGUGGUUAAGGCGAUGGACUUGAUAUCUUUUGGGAUCUUCCCGCGCAGGUUCGAAUCCUGCCGACACCG